Molecule: long non-coding RNA, 1279 nt
Organism: Parus major (Great Tit)
Lineage: Eukaryota; Metazoa; Chordata; Aves; Passeriformes; Paridae
Exons: 2
Source: RefSeq, a predicted model, not a curated record
UAUUUCUCACUUCUAUUUUGACAUGUGCUGUGAGGAUUAUGGACAGGAAGCUCUGUGGUUAUUUUAUACACUCUAUUCUCAUCAUUUCAUCUCAGCCAGCUCAUUCCAGUUCCAGCACACCUGCAUGUAAGUGCUUCCAGAAUGAAUUUCUCAGUGAAGAAGCAGGCUAGGAAAGCACCCUUGCAAUGGAAGAACACAGGACAAGUAGCCCAUGGAAAAUCCAGUCAAUAAUUUUGCAAGAGAUACCACUCAUGUUAUUUGUGACACUGAAUACAGCAGAGGAAAAAAACCAAAAGGUUAAAAAUGGAUAUAAAGAUGAAACAGCCGUGUGGUUUUGGGCCAUUUUAUACCUUCAGAGCCAAAGUGAGCCAGGUUAUACUGAAUUGAACUUGUGCAGAAAGUCUGGGAAGGCCUGCCAAGUUUUGUGAUAACAUCCUAAUAAACACAAGAAACAAGAUCCUAACAGGCUUUGGAGUUUUCUUCCUGACCUGGAGAACCGAGAUAAACGGAGCUCCCCGUGAAGGAGAAUCCCAAAGGAGCUCGGCUCUGAAGAGACUGAGAAAUCUGCUUUGAGAAGUGCAGCAUCAAAACAGAGAAAAGCUUCAAGUGCUCUUCCUCUUCCCUUCGGUUUCCACCGGUUUUCUGUUUUCUCAUUGCCAGCCCUCGUUUUCCCAGGGUUAUUGCUUCAGCUCCAAAGUUACCACCAGCAGCACAGCUCUCAGAAGCAGCACCUGCAUUUCAUGUCCCUCUCUCAGAGGCAGCUGUGACAGCAGAGACACCUGCACAGGAAGGGGUGUGGAGAGCCCCAGGUCACAGCAGAGAAGCACCUGUGCCUCAUCCUUCCCUUCCAGAGCAGGCACAGGAGAAAUGGACUGGUAAAAACAGAAGACACCAGUGGCACAGAGUAGAGACAGCCUGCAGGGAGGAGCUGAGCACAUGACCUUCCAAGAAUUAGCUCCUGUACCUGAGGCACAUGUUCUGCUCCUGAGGGAAUGCCACUGGCUGCCAAAAUAACAGCACUGUUCAGCCCUUUUGUCCCUGUAGUACCUAUGCAGAUUCUCCUUUUCAAACGACACUGAGGCCAGGAGCCUGAAGACCAGACUUCCAGAGCACUACUUCAGUUCUGUAAAUGAGAACAGGUCUCCUGGGAUUGAUUUCUUCCCGGAUCACAGUGUUAAUUUGCAUAAUAUACAUAGCUGCAAAAAUUAAAUGUAUGUAAUCCAGAUUUUGACUUAUUAAAGACCCCACAGAAAUGUUUUAUGACACAAUUGAAACUGAA